This 308-nucleotide long non-coding RNA is filed under the name Vigna radiata. RNAcentral describes it as "long non-coding RNA (VRAD_LNC001423)". Lineage: Eukaryota; Viridiplantae; Streptophyta; Magnoliopsida; Fabales; Fabaceae. The record is from RNAcentral.
AAGAAGAGCACGCAGCAAGGAAGUUGUCUUUAAAACAUAAAAAAAGAGACACAGAAAAAGAAGAAAGAGAAUAUAGGAAACCACAAAGGGAAAAAGAAGAGAGGAAUGUUGUAAAAGUUAGCACCAAGAAUAAAUGAGCUUGGAAGUAGAAAUUAUUAUUCACAAUAUUUAAGAAAUUUUUAACUCUUAGCUAUAGAAAAGUGUUUGUAAACUCAUAUUUAAUAGAAAAUAUUAUAAAAUAUAUUAAACUUUAUUUUUUAACUAUAUUAAUUUCAACCGAUAAUUUUAUUACUAUAUUAAAGUUUAUU